Molecule: small nuclear RNA, 113 nt
Filed under: Neotoma lepida (desert woodrat)
Lineage: Eukaryota; Metazoa; Chordata; Mammalia; Rodentia; Cricetidae
Source: RNAcentral
GUGCUCACUUUGGCAGCACAUAUACUAAAAAAAAAAAUGGAAUGAUACAGAGAAGAUUAGCAUGGCCCCUGUGCAAGGAUGACACGCAAAUUCGUGAAGCAUUCCAUAUAAAA